Molecule: transfer RNA, 95 nt
Filed under: Dactylosporangium siamense
Lineage: Bacteria; Bacillati; Actinomycetota; Actinomycetes; Micromonosporales; Micromonosporaceae
Description: tRNA-Val
Source: RNAcentral
CCUCGUCAGGUCGUACUGGCUGAGCUCGACCAGCACGCGGUCGAACGGCAGGAUCUUGAUGUAGUUCUUGCGGAUCUUGCCGCUGAUGUGGGCCA